UUGCUACUUUGAUACCCCACCAG
RNAcentral lists this microRNA (23 nucleotides) under Mus musculus (house mouse). Its description in RNAcentral is "mmu-miR-7055-3p". Lineage: Eukaryota; Metazoa; Chordata; Mammalia; Rodentia; Muridae. The record is from miRBase by way of RNAcentral.